Molecule: ribosomal RNA, 711 nt
Filed under: uncultured cyanobacterium
Lineage: Bacteria; Bacillati; Cyanobacteriota
Description: bacterial SSU rRNA
Rfam family: Bacterial small subunit ribosomal RNA
Source: RNAcentral
UGCAAGUCGUACGAGAGUUUUUAACUCAAGUGGCGGACGGGUGAGUAACACGUAAGAAUUUGCCUUUAGGAGGGGGACAACAACUGGAAACGGUUGCUAAUACCCCAUAUGCUUUCGAGUGAAAGGGUUUUUCCGCCUAGAGAGAAGCUUGCGGCUGAUUAGCUUGUUGGUAAGGUAAUGGCUUACCAAGGCGACGAUCAGUAUCUGGUUUGAGAGGACGAUCAGACACACUGGAACUGAGACACGGUCCAGACUCCUACGGGAGGCAGCAGUGGGGAAUUUUCCGCAAUGGGCGAAAGCCUGACGGAGCAAUACCGCGUGAGGGAUGAAUGCCUAUGGGUUGUAAACCUCUUUUUUCAGGGAGGAACAAAAUGACGUGUACCUGAAGAAUAAGCAUCGGCUAACUCCGUGCCAGCAGCCGCGGUAAGACGGAGGAUGCAAGUGUUAUCCGGAAUCACUGGGCGUAAAGCGUCUGUAGGUGGUUUAAUAAGUCAACUGUUAAAUCUCGAGGCUCAACUUCGAAACCGCAGUCGAAACUAUUAGACUAGAGUAUAGUAGGGGUAAAGGGAAUUUCCAGUGGAGCGGUGAAAUGCGUAGAGAUUGGAAAGAACACCGAUGGCGAAGGCACUUUACUGGGCUAUUACUAACACUGAGAGACGAAAGCUAGGGUAGCAAAUGGGAUUAGAUACCCCAGUAGUCCUAGCUGUAAAC